GCUGUAGCCUGGAGGCUCCGGGCGCGGGGAAGUCAUGCUCGCUUCACGGAGGCAAUAGCUAGCCGAAUGGGAGUGAGGCCCUAAUGAUUCUAGAUGACCAAACUAACAAACUGAAAUCGUUAUGACCCAGAGCUAACAGAAAGCAGUGGCUCUGCAUCACACAUAGACUGCAGAAUGAGCCCCUGGAGUGAAUGGUCACAAUGCGAUCCUUGUCUCAGACAAAUGUUUCGUUCAAGAAGCAUUGAGGUCUUUGGACAAUUUAAUGGGAAAAGAUGCACCGACGCUGUGGGAGACAGACGACAGUGUGUGCCCACAGAGCCCUGUGAGGAUGCUGAGGAUGACUGCGGAAAUGACUUUCAAUGCAGUACAGGCAGAUGCAUAAAGAUGCGACUUCGGUGUAAUGGUGACAAUGACUGCGGAGACUUUUCAGAUGAGGAUGAUUGUGAAAGUGAGCCCCGUCCCCCCUGCAGAGACAGAGUGGUAGAAGAGUCUGAGCUGGCACGAACAGCAGGCUAUGGGAUCAACAUUUUAGGGAUGGAUCCCCUAAGCACACCUUUUGA
This is a long non-coding RNA of Homo sapiens (human), 560 nucleotides long. Lineage: Eukaryota; Metazoa; Chordata; Mammalia; Primates; Hominidae. The record is from Ensembl.